AUGACUGAAGGCGGAGAGAGGCUGGUCUAUAAAACUGGACGGACUCAGACAGACAGAACAAACCCUGAAGCUUCGGCAUCGAACUGCAAACAACCUGAAGGUUUGGUUUUCUUUCCUGCAGGAAACUUCACAGUAAAAAUGGCAAGUGGAGCUAAAAACGAUGGACCAACAGUCAAAACUGAGGAGAAAGCGAAGGCUGGGACUGUGAGGUUUCAUGUGCUGACAGCCGGAGGGAGUGGCAUACAUUUUAUCAUGAAACCCAGCUCUCUAAAUAAAUUACUUUCAAAAAUAACUGUUGAAGCACAAAGAGGUCAAACGGUGGAAAAAGCUCUGAGAGAAGAAGAUAAAUUUAAAGAUAAAGUGUUUGAAAAGGAGACUGUUCUCUUUGACACUGACCAAAAGAAAAUCAUCCUGCUGUCUGAUCCUGUUGAUGAUCUUGAUGGUCAAACUCACAGGAUCAUUCGGCUCAGAGACAUAGCGGACAUUCGGCCUUUUGCUGAGGACGACAAUUUGACUCAAUGGUUGGCCAACCUGAAUCUGAGUGAAGGUCAGUAGGACGUGAAGUCCAGAGCCCAAAAACAAAACCCAAUCUGAUCAUCAGGGUGUAGUUGGAUGAUUUAAAGAGACAGUCUUUGAUUAAUGUUGUUUGAAAAUGAAAAUCUAAUCUAGAUGUAAUGAUGGAUUAUUAAUCAACCACCAGAACACGAUGAGCGAAGUGAAGAACCCUCAAAGUUUAAAGACAAAUGAAAUGAGACUUUAUCUUUGAGAGAAUCAACAACAGCUGACUUUAUUCUUCUUUGUGUUAGAAAUGAUUUUUGAAUGGAUCUUUAUUCGAAAUGAAAAAUGCUGAUUGUCUGAUGAUCAAUAAUGUUUUUUCUCAUGUUUGUAUUCUGUGAAUGAAAAUCUAAUAAAAGAAUCUGUCUCUUGGCCGGAUGUUGAUUUCUGAUCCUGUAACAGCUGACAGUCGAGGGGGAAACACACCGGUUUCUGAGUUGUGCGCUACACAAACACAACUCCAGUGUGUUCUUCAUUUAAACAGAUUGUUUAGAGACAGGAAAGAGGAAGAAACAGAAGUGAAACAACUUCAGAGUAGGAAACAGAAACAUGAAUGAAUGAAUGAACCUGUUGGAGUUUAAACAUCCCAUAAAAAGCAGGACGACCUCAGAUCAGAGCAGCAGGCCUCCACCAGGCUCCGCUAACUUUACCGCCAAAACUAAACUAUGAAAAACUCUUCAGCUUCAUCAGCCAACUUCAGUUUUUCACCGAAACGUUCAAAUUAAAGUUCUUAUGACAUCAUCAGUCUUGAGUCACAUGACCUUCCUUCAGUUUAACUUUCGCCCUCGUCUUCCUCUG
Long non-coding RNA from Echeneis naucrates (live sharksucker), 1353 nucleotides. The record is from Ensembl. Lineage: Eukaryota; Metazoa; Chordata; Actinopteri; Carangiformes; Echeneidae.